GCCGGGGUGGCGAAACUGGCAGACGCACAGGACUUAAAAUCCUGGGUCCUGAAAAGGACGUGUGGGUUCGAUCCCCGCCCCCGGCA
RNAcentral lists this transfer RNA (86 nucleotides) under Acidobacteriota bacterium. RNAcentral describes it as "Acidobacteria bacterium (drinking water metagenome) tRNA-Leu". It matches the Rfam family "tRNA". From Rfam's summary of the family: Transfer RNA (tRNA) molecules are approximately 80 nucleotides in length. Their secondary structure includes four short double-helical elements and three loops (D, anti-codon, and T loops). Lineage: Bacteria; Pseudomonadati; Acidobacteriota. The record is from RNAcentral.